UGAUUUAGAAUUUAAAGUUUGUUUAGGAUUUGAUUUAAAAUUUAAGAUUUGUUUAGGAUUUAGGAUUGUGUAGGAUUUGGUUUAUGAUUUAGGAUUUGUCUAGGGUUUGAUUUAGAGUUUAAGAUUUUUUUAGAGUUUGAUUUAGGAUUUAGGAUUUAUUUAAGAUUUGGUUUAAGAUUUAAAAUUUGUCUAGGAUUUAGAAUUUAUCUAGGGCUUGGUUUAGGAUUUAGGAUUUGUAUAAGAUUUGGUUUAGGAUUUAAGAUUUGUGUAAGGUUUGAUUGAAGUCUAUUAGGAUUUUAAUGAGGAUUAAAUUAGAACUUGGUUGAAAUUUAUUUGAGAUAUAUUUGUGAUUAUUCUUAUAUUUUUUAGGAUUUUUUAAGGAUUCUUUUAAGAUUUAUUGUGGAUUUUCUUUCAACUCCUUUAAGAUUUCUUAUUAUUUCUCUUGUAAUUUUUUUAAGGUUUCUUUUUAAUUUGAUUAAAGCUUGUUUAGUAUUUUUAAGGUUUAAUUAGAGUUUAUUUAGUAUUCUAUUAGAGAUAUGAUUUUGUUAUAGAAAUUUCUAUUCUAACUUCUACAACCAAGUGCUUGAUGCAUUCUCGAGCAAGACUUUAUGUAAUACAAUAGCAUCAAAUUGUAUGUUGAUUCUAAUACAACAAUUUAAAAAUAAAAAACUUAAAGAAUAGAU
This 683-nucleotide long non-coding RNA is filed under the name Physcomitrium patens. RNAcentral describes it as "long non-coding RNA (PPAT_LNC010090)". Lineage: Eukaryota; Viridiplantae; Streptophyta; Bryopsida; Funariales; Funariaceae. The record is from RNAcentral.